RNAcentral lists this long non-coding RNA (481 nucleotides) under Lathyrus oleraceus (garden pea). RNAcentral's name for it is "Pisum sativum (pea) long non-coding RNA (PSAT_LNC018051)". Lineage: Eukaryota; Viridiplantae; Streptophyta; Magnoliopsida; Fabales; Fabaceae. The record is from RNAcentral.
CUGUAUCUAGGGAAUCAUUAAUACUUUAUGACUAUUAAUUCACCUGCAGCUAUCCAUGACUUACCCUUCCCUCAUAUUCUACCAUUAAUAUAAUAAAAUGUUUUUAAUAGUCAUUAUCAGCAUAAAAAACAACGAAUCUUUAUUAUCUUCUCUCAACAAACACCAACCCUAAACCCAUUUGAAAAAAAAUGACGAAAAAUUGAACACCAAAGCUCCAGAACCACGGAUGAACAUAAACAAAUUUCAACAAGCAAACAGAACACCAACAAGAUAGUAAUCGAUGCAAAACACAAACAAACCAAAAAGCUCAUCCCCAAUCCACACCCUUGAACCCCGAUUUCAUGAUUUCUAAGGUAUUACAUGUACAAUCAAAAUAACCGAAGGAAAAGAAACACAAUACAAUAUCAUUUAAACAAAGUUCUACCGAGUUCAGAUGAUACCGAGAUGACUCACAGGUAGCUAUUCUUUUCCGAUUCGCUUU